This 460-nucleotide ribosomal RNA is filed under the name uncultured bacterium. RNAcentral describes it as "partial 16S ribosomal RNA". It matches the Rfam family "Bacterial small subunit ribosomal RNA", at positions 338 to 795 of the family's 1533-position model. The record is from RNAcentral.
UCUACGGGAGACAGCAGUGAGGAAUAUUGGUCAAUGGGCGGAAGCCUGAACCAGCCAAGUAGCGUGCAGGAUGACGGCCCUACGGGUUGUAAACUGCUUUUAUACGGGAAUAACGCGCCUUACGUGUAGGGCUUUGCAUGUACCGUAUGAAUAAGGACCGGCUAAUUCCGUGCCAACAGCCGCGGUAAUACGGAAGGUCCGGGCGUUAUCCGGAUUUAUUGGGUUUAAAGGGAGCGUAGGCCGCAUGUCAAGCGUGCUGUGAAAUGUCCGGGCUCAACCCGGGCCUUGCAGCGCGAACUGGCGUGCUUGAGUCCGCGGAAAGCAGGCGGAAUUCGUCGUGUAGCGGUGAAAUGCUUAGAUAUGAGGAAGAACCCCGAUUGCGAAGGCAGCUUGCUGCAGCGGAACUGACGCUGAUGCUCGAAAGCGCGGGUAUCGAACAGGAUUAGAUACCCGGGUAGUC